GAUGAACGCUGGCGGCGUGCCUAAUACAUGCAAGUCGAGCGAACAGACGAGGAGCUUGCUCCUCUGACGUUAGCGGCGGACGGGUGAGUAACACGUGGAUAACCUACCUAUAAGACUGGGAUAACUUCGGGAAACCGGAGCUAAUACCGGAUAAUAUAUUGAACCGCAUGGUUCAAUAGUGAAAGACGGUCUUGCUGUCACUUAUAGAUGGAUCCGCGCCGCAUUAGCUAGUUGGUAAGGUAACGGCUUACCAAGGCAACGAUGCGUAGCCGACCUGAGAGGGUGAUCCGCCACACCGGAACUGGAACACGGUCCAGACUCCUAAGGGAGGCAGCAGUAGGGAAACUUCCGCAAUGGGCGAAAGCCUGAAGGAGCAACGCCGGGGGAGUGAUGAAGGUCUUCGGAUCGGAAAACUCUGUUAAUAGGGAAGAACAAAUGUGUAAGUAACUAUGCACGACUUGACGGUAACUAAUCAGAAAGGCACGGCUAACUACGUG
RNAcentral lists this ribosomal RNA (497 nucleotides) under uncultured bacterium. RNAcentral describes it as "partial 16S ribosomal RNA". It matches the Rfam family "Bacterial small subunit ribosomal RNA", at positions 28 to 507 of the family's 1533-position model. The record is from RNAcentral.